RNAcentral lists this ribosomal RNA (492 nucleotides) under uncultured bacterium. RNAcentral describes it as "partial 16S ribosomal RNA". It matches the Rfam family "Bacterial small subunit ribosomal RNA", at positions 29 to 507 of the family's 1533-position model. The record is from RNAcentral.
AGUGAACGCUGGCGGUAGGCCUAACACAUGCAAGUCGAACGGCAGCACAGUAAGAGCUUGCUCUUACGGGUGGCGAGUGGCGGACGGGUGAGGAAUACAUCGGAAUCUACUUUUUCGUGGGGGAUAACGUAGGGAAACUUACGCUAAUACCGCAUACGCCCUACGGGGGAAAGCAGGGGAUCUUCGGACCUUGCGCGAUUGAUUGAGCCGAUGUCGGAUUAGCUAGUUGGCGGGGUAAAGGCCCACCAAGGCGACGAUCCGUAGCUGGUCUGAGAGGAUGAUCUGCCACACUGGAACUGAGACACGGUCCAGACUCCUACGGGAGGCCGCAGUGGGGAAUAUUGGACGAUGGGCGCAAGCCUGAUCCAGCCAUACCGCGUGGGUGAAGAAGGCCUUCGGGUUGUAAAGCCCUUUUGUUGGGAAAGAAAAGCAGCAGGUUAAUACCCCGCUGUUCUGACGGUACCCAAAGAAUAAGCACCGGCUAACUUCGUG